AGGGCCAUAGCUCAGUUGGUAGAGCAGGAAAAAGGAGCUUUGCUAAAAGCUCAUGCAGCAAUUUUCUAUGGAAGAUUACUCCCCUUGUCGCUGGUUCGACUCCGGCUGGCCCUG
This 114-nucleotide transfer RNA is filed under the name Lachnospiraceae bacterium. RNAcentral's name for it is "tRNA-OTHER". It matches the Rfam family "tRNA". From Rfam's summary of the family: Transfer RNA (tRNA) molecules are approximately 80 nucleotides in length. Their secondary structure includes four short double-helical elements and three loops (D, anti-codon, and T loops). Further hydrogen bonds mediate the characteristic L-shaped molecular structure. tRNAs have two regions of fundamental functional importance: the anti-codon, which is responsible for specific mRNA codon recognition, and the 3' end, to which the tRNAs corresponding amino acid is attached (by aminoacyl-tRNA synthetases). tRNAs cope with the degeneracy of the genetic code in two manners: having more than one tRNA (with a specific anti-codon) for a particular amino acid; and 'wobble' base-pairing, i.e. permitting non-standard base-pairing at the 3rd anti-codon position. The record is from RNAcentral. Lineage: Bacteria; Bacillati; Bacillota; Clostridia; Lachnospirales; Lachnospiraceae.